UUCUAUUACAUGCUGAGCCCAAACAUGGAGAAAUGCAACAUAUAUAUAGCUCAUACUGGCACAUGCAGACUCAGAACGCUGUGCAGAACUAUCUCCAUAUGACCAAUAUUUCCUGUCUGCAAAGUUUAAAUAAGGAAUCAAAAGCAGAAAUCAACAGAUAAAAAAAUGAAAUUUAUGCAGAAAGAAAAACAGCAGGGAACCCAUAUCAAUUAAUAAGCAUCCCCAUGCAUUCAAAAGAUGUAGGGAAGGGAGAAUCAAAAGGAAGAGGUCAUCACCAUCCUCCUCCCUCCUCCUAAGGUGAUCUCUAUUGCUCAUGUCCACAGCAAAACUAAAAAUAACAUCAAGAGAAAUAAGGAAAACUAAUUACUAAAGCUAGUUAUGCAGUUCAUAUAAUUCAGUUUCUUUAGGUUUUGGCUAGUACCUUGAUAAAAUGAGUCAGGCACCAACACCUAGGAUGGGGGAGGCUCGUCCUCGCCUACUCUUGCUGGAGCAGGGACAAUCUGAAAAUAAAUAAAUUAUUUGGUUCAUAUAAGCAUCAGUAAGAACAUAUUCCAUGUACUAGUUACUAUAGCACAUAAGACUGAGAGAAUGCAGUACAAACAUCCAACGGUGUUUAGAAGAGGGAAAUUCCAUGUACUGAACUAAGUGAAAAUAAAUAAAUUGUAUAUUCACCUUCUCUGUAUAGACCUACACAUUUCUCUACAAUCUAAUUUCAUUAGCCUCUCCAUCAGCUAUCUACUUUGUUCUCCGUGGGGGCUGUGGCACAACACAGAUGGGACAUGGCAGGCAAGCAAAGAAGCAAGCAAGCAAAGAAGUGUCUCCGUGCGGCGUGUAGAGAGAGAGAGGAGAAGAAGCUAGUGGUGCUAGUGGCCAAGAAGGAAUUUGCUGCCCAACUGUACUCUAUUUCCCAAAUUUCUCCCAACCUCACGGCGCAUCAGCUGCUCCGUCCAGGCGACGGCGCAUCAGCUGCUCCAUCCGACGACAGGAACCACAACCUCACGGUGCUCCUCACCUUCGACAUCUUCUUCUCCUUCACCCUACUCUACCCGCGCAGUCGCGCUCUCCCGCUGCUACCUAAAGGUUCGCCAGCGCGUCGCCCUGCACCGUAGAGAGGCCCUGCUGCAUGUUGCGCGGAGCCGUGGGCAGCGGACGGAAGCUUCAGCGGCACUUGUCCUGUCCGCGAUCCCGGCGUUUGCGUACAAGCUUCAGCGAACGGAAGCUUCAACGGAUAUCGUGUUUCUUGUGCCAGGUCCAAGGGGUGGUGCUCGAGGACUCGCCGAUGGCGUCUUGCUUCCUGACCGCCUCCUAGAACCUGACCGCCUCGUCCACCGUCAGCCUGACAGCGGUCGCGCCCUCGGCCGGCCCUAGGACGAUCUGGUUGGACCUCGGCCUUGUGCCAGCAGAGAGCAGAUCCCAGCGCGUGGUGCUGCCUGUGCCUGUCCAACGCCGAACAAAAGAGAGGCAGAGAGCAGAUCUAACGAAAGAGAAGGGAUCCUACCGGAGAGAAGCUCGCCAGCAGUAGAGGUCGUCGACGACGAGGAGGAUGACUCGUCUUCUUUGCGCCGCCGCCGC
RNAcentral lists this long non-coding RNA (1572 nucleotides) under Zea mays. Its description in RNAcentral is "long non-coding RNA (ZMAY_LNC001179)". The record is from RNAcentral. Lineage: Eukaryota; Viridiplantae; Streptophyta; Magnoliopsida; Poales; Poaceae.